Molecule: transfer RNA, 86 nt
Filed under: Hallella mizrahii
Lineage: Bacteria; Pseudomonadati; Bacteroidota; Bacteroidia; Bacteroidales; Prevotellaceae
Also listed under: 1 other name
Description: Prevotellaceae bacterium LKV-178-WT-2A tRNA-Leu
Rfam family: tRNA
About the family: Transfer RNA (tRNA) molecules are approximately 80 nucleotides in length. Their secondary structure includes four short double-helical elements and three loops (D, anti-codon, and T loops).
Source: RNAcentral
GCCGCAAUGGUGGAAUUGGUAGACACGAGGGACUUAAAAUCCCUUGGCCAGAAAUGGUCGUGCGGGUUCGAGUCCCGCUCGCGGCA